RNAcentral lists this ribosomal RNA (228 nucleotides) under uncultured bacterium. RNAcentral describes it as "partial 16S ribosomal RNA". It matches the Rfam family "Bacterial small subunit ribosomal RNA", at positions 15 to 240 of the family's 1533-position model. The record is from RNAcentral.
GAUAUGGCUCAGGAUGAACGCUAGCGACAGGCUUAACACAUGCAAGUCGAGGGGCAGCACAGGUAGCAAUACCGGGUGGCGACCGGCGCACGGGUGAGUAACGCGUAUGCAACUUGCCUAUCAGAGGGGGAUAACCCGGCGAAAGUCGGACUAAUACCGCAUGAAGCAGGGGCCCCGCAUGGGGAUAUUUGCUAAAGAUUCAUCGCUGAUAGAUAGGCAUGCGUUCCA